Molecule: long non-coding RNA, 460 nt
Organism: Dioscorea cayenensis subsp. rotundata (Guinea yam)
Lineage: Eukaryota; Viridiplantae; Streptophyta; Magnoliopsida; Dioscoreales; Dioscoreaceae
Exons: 3
Source: RefSeq, a predicted model, not a curated record
UUUUUUGACUAUUCUCUAGCCUCUUAUAGCCACCGCUGUGCAGUUCUAUCUACUCCACUAGCUUUUCAUUGCCUUCUCAUUUCUAUAUAUUCACCAUCAUCUUCAUCUUCACAAGCCUUUAUUUUAUUUUAUUUUUAGUUCACAUAAGCAUACAAUAACAAGAUGAAUAAUCCUAAGUAUGCUUAUCCAUAUCCAUCUCAAGGUUAUUAUCAAGGACCUCCAGUGAUGGCACCUCCUCAGUACUAUGCAGCUCCACCACCAAGAAGAAGUUCUGGCUUUCUUGAAGGAUGCUUAGCAGCUUUGUGUUGUUGCUGCUUGAUUGAUGAGUGCUGCUGUGAUCCUUCAAUUAUAUUUGUCACUUAAUUAUUAUUAAUGAAUGAAUAUCAUGUUUGUGAUCUUUGCCUUCUUUCUUAUUUGCUUUCUUUUGAGUGUAAUGGAUAUAUUAUAAAUAUUAUGUGCA